UACAGAGGUCUCAACCGUUGUUCGGAUUCAUUGGGCGUAAAGGGUGCGUAGGCGGCGGGGUAAGUCAGGUGUGAAAUCUCGGGGCUCAACCCCGAAACUGCACUUGAUACUGCCUCGCUUGAGUACUGGAGAGGAGACUGGAAUUUACGGUGUAGCAGUGAAAUGCGUAGAUAUCGUAAGGAAGACCAGUGGCGAAGGCGGGUCUCUGGACAGUUCCUGACGCUGAGGCACGAAGGUCAGGGGAGCAAACGGG
RNAcentral lists this ribosomal RNA (253 nucleotides) under uncultured bacterium. Its description in RNAcentral is "partial 16S ribosomal RNA". It matches the Rfam family "Bacterial small subunit ribosomal RNA", at positions 524 to 776 of the family's 1533-position model. The record is from RNAcentral.